UCCCAGAUGGCCGAGUGGUUAAGGCGUUGGACUUAAGAUCCAAUGGAGAUGUGUCCACGUGGGUUCGAACCCCACUCCUGGUAG
Molecule: non-coding RNA, 84 nt
Organism: Ornithorhynchus anatinus (platypus)
Lineage: Eukaryota; Metazoa; Chordata; Mammalia; Monotremata; Ornithorhynchidae
Source: the annotation of a RefSeq genome assembly